UACGGGGGGGGCCAGCGUUGUUCGGAAUUACUGGGCGUAAAGGGCUCGUAGGCGGCCAACUAAGUCAGAUGGGAAAUCCCCGGGCUCAACCCGGGAACUGCGUCCGAUACUGGAAGGCUUGAAUCCGGGAGAGGGAUGUGGAAUUCCAGGUGUAGCGGUGAAAUGCGUAGAUAUCUGGAGGAACACCGGUGGCGAAGGCGACAUCCUGGACCGGUAUUGACGCUGAGGCGCGAAAGCCAGGGGAGCAAACGGG
Molecule: ribosomal RNA, 253 nt
Filed under: uncultured bacterium
Lineage: Bacteria
Description: partial 16S ribosomal RNA
Rfam family: Bacterial small subunit ribosomal RNA
Source: RNAcentral